CUCCGUGGCUCCGUGCCGGUUCAUAACCCGACCGACCCGACGGACCCGACUGACCGAGCCCAACCACAGACGGACCCGACGGACCCUUCCUCCUCCGCUCCCCGGAUCCAGAGCUAGCUCCGCCAACCAACCCUACUCCGCUCCGCCGCCCUCUCCGCCGGCGACAUCCCCCGCGCUGUUGGCGGGGGACUGGCGCAUGAGCUAGCGCCGGUCCCUCUCACCAUGAGAGGAGCAGACCGCCAACAAGGGCGCCGCCGUGACGGGGGGCUCCAGGCCCGCCGCCUUUUCCUCCUGCCGGUCGCCGCUACCCACUACCUCCCCCAGCUUCCCUCCGUAUCCGCCUCCUUCCAUCGCUCCACGCCCCUCACCAACACCACCGGAGCUGCCUGCACCCUCUCCACGACCUGACCAUUCCAGGUGGAUGUUCUGAAAGCAGCAUUUCUUCCAAUCGAAAAUAUGAAGUUAUAUCUGAUUGUGCGUCGUCGAAACUUUGCUGGGGCACCACAUAUUGUGCCUGCUCUGGAUGGUCCUCGAGAUGGAACUUCAACAUCUGAAUCUCAUGUUUCUGCAUCUUCUACUUCUUCUGAAAGUAUUCAGGAUCUGUCCAAGAUACAGAAACAUGGCCAUCGAAUAAAUUUCGUGUUUCAGUAAAUCUGGUUGAGCUUUCUCUGCAUUCAGGAGCAACAAGGGAUUCCCCUCUGGCUAAAGAAGGUUGAUCUUCCUGUGGAUCUGAAUGCGGCCAGCCUGAAGCUGCUUGAACAUAAUGUCACCUCUCAUCUGGGAGUAAAGCACACAAUGUAGCUCCUUCACUUUGCAGGACACAAACAGCCUGAAGCUACAAAUUUGCAUCGCUGAGCCUCAGGCUAAAGUUGAGAAGCACUGAAGGAUGAAUGGUGGCACGUGAUCGCUUGGUUUAACAUAGGUGAUGAGUCGCUAUGCUGUUUGGCACCUCCUUGAAAAUGUGAACUCAGAUUCGAAUAUAAAUCCUUGUCUUGUAAUUAUUCGAAUAUAAGGUGGUGUUUGGUUCUCUA
Long non-coding RNA from Triticum urartu, 1031 nucleotides. RefSeq lists it as uncharacterized. NCBI's taxonomy places the organism in Eukaryota, Viridiplantae, Streptophyta, Magnoliopsida, Poales, Poaceae. The record is from RefSeq and is a predicted model, not a curated record.